GGAGAGAUGCCCGAGUUGGCUGAAGGGGCUCGCCUGCUAAGCGAGUGUAGGGGUAAAACUCUACCGAGGGUUCGAAUCCCUCUCUCUCCGCCA
This 93-nucleotide transfer RNA is filed under the name Syntrophaceae bacterium. Its description in RNAcentral is "tRNA-Ser". It matches the Rfam family "tRNA". Rfam says of the family: Transfer RNA (tRNA) molecules are approximately 80 nucleotides in length. Their secondary structure includes four short double-helical elements and three loops (D, anti-codon, and T loops). Further hydrogen bonds mediate the characteristic L-shaped molecular structure. tRNAs have two regions of fundamental functional importance: the anti-codon, which is responsible for specific mRNA codon recognition, and the 3' end, to which the tRNAs corresponding amino acid is attached (by aminoacyl-tRNA synthetases). tRNAs cope with the degeneracy of the genetic code in two manners: having more than one tRNA (with a specific anti-codon) for a particular amino acid; and 'wobble' base-pairing, i.e. permitting non-standard base-pairing at the 3rd anti-codon position. RNAcentral also lists the same sequence under 1 other name. Lineage: Bacteria; Pseudomonadati; Thermodesulfobacteriota; Syntrophia; Syntrophales; Syntrophaceae. The record is from RNAcentral.